This 276-nucleotide long non-coding RNA is filed under the name Homo sapiens (human). RNAcentral's name for it is "HSALNT0130325". Lineage: Eukaryota; Metazoa; Chordata; Mammalia; Primates; Hominidae. The record is from RNAcentral.
CUGGGCGACAGAGCCGGACUCUGUCUCGAAAAAAUAGAAACUGGAAUACAUGGCAAGAGAAAAGCAUAGGCUGAAGGUAGAGAUACAGUAACGUCUUCAAAUAAUCUGCUCUUUCUACCCAUCAAAGACAGUGAAAGUAACCUGACAACGCCAUUCAAAUAAUAUUUGUGUUAAAAGGUCACUUCUCUGACCUACAGAUCAAAAACUUGCAAUAGAAAAUAGCUGGAUGGAGAAAAUACCACUGACCCUAACCCAGGACAAUCCUCCUGUCUUUGA